This 301-nucleotide ribosomal RNA is filed under the name uncultured bacterium. RNAcentral describes it as "partial 16S ribosomal RNA". It matches the Rfam family "Bacterial small subunit ribosomal RNA", at positions 509 to 807 of the family's 1533-position model. The record is from RNAcentral.
CAGCCGCCACGGUAAAACGGAGGGUGCAAGCGUUAAUCGGAAUUACUGGGCGUAAAGCGCACGCAGGCGGUCUGACAAGUCAGAUGUGAAAUCCCCGGGCUUAACCUGGGAACUGCAUUUGAAACUGUCAGGCUGGAGUCUUGUAGAGGGGGGUGGAAUUCCAGGUGUAGCGGUGAAAUGCGUAGAGAUCUGGAGGAAUACCGGUGGCGAAGGCGGCCCCCUGGACAAAGACUGACGCUCAGGUGCGAAAGCGUGGGGAGCAAACAGGAUUAGAUACCCCGGUAGUCCCUGUCUCUUAUAC